RNAcentral lists this ribosomal RNA (496 nucleotides) under uncultured bacterium. Its description in RNAcentral is "partial 16S ribosomal RNA". It matches the Rfam family "Bacterial small subunit ribosomal RNA", at positions 29 to 507 of the family's 1533-position model. The record is from RNAcentral.
AUGAACGCUGGCGGCGUGCCUAAUACCUGCAAGUCGAGCGCACGGACGAGAAGCUUGCUUCUCUGAUGUUAGCGGCGGACGGGUGAGUAACACGUGGAUAACCUACCUAUAAGACUGGGAUAACUUCGGGAAACCGGAGCUAAUACCGGAUAAUAUUUUGAACCGCAUGGUUCAAAAGUGAAAGACGGUCUUGCUGUCACUUAUAGAUGGAUCCGCGCUGCAUUAGCUAGUUGGUAAGGUAACGGCUUACCAAGGCAACGAUGCAUAGCCGACCUGAGAGGGUGAUCGGCCACACUGGAACUGAGACACGGUCCAGACUCCUACGGGAGGCAGCAGUAGGGAAUCUUCCGCAAUGGGCGAAAGCCUGACGGAGCAACGCCACGUGAGUGAUGAAGGUCUUCGGAUCGUAAAACUCUGUUAUUAGGGAAGAACAUAUGUGUAAGUAACUGUGCACAUCUUGACGGUACCUAAUCAGAAAGCCACGGCUAACUACGUG